AGAGUUUGAUCAUGGCUCAGGAUGAACGCUAGCGGCAGGCUUAAUACAUGCAAGACGAACGGUAACUGGAGUAGCAAUACUUUAGCUAGAGUGUCGUACGGGUGCGUAACACGUAUGCAACCUACCUUGUACAGGCGGAUAGCUCGGGGAAACCCGAAUUAACCCGCCAUAAUAUGUUGGUGUGGCAUCACACAGGCAUUAAAACUGAGGUGGUACAAGAUGGGCAUGCGUCUGAUUAGUUAGUUGGCGGGGUAACGGCCCACCAAGACGAUGAUCAGUAGGGGACCUGAGAGGGUGAUCCCCCACACUGGAACUGAGAUACGGGCCAGACUCCUACGGGAGGCAGCAGUAGGGAAUAUUGGUCAAUGGGGGAGAGCCUGAACCAGCCAUGCCGCGUGCAGGAAGAAGGCGUUAUGCGUUGUAAACUGCUUUUGCCAGGGGAUAAAAAGACCGUGCGCGGUUAAUUGAAGGUACCUGGUGAAUAAGCCACGGCUAACUACGUGCCAGCAGCCGCGGUAAUUC
Molecule: ribosomal RNA, 522 nt
Filed under: uncultured bacterium
Lineage: Bacteria
Description: bacterial SSU rRNA
Rfam family: Bacterial small subunit ribosomal RNA
Source: RNAcentral